RNAcentral lists this ribosomal RNA (2907 nucleotides) under Klebsiella grimontii. RNAcentral's name for it is "23S ribosomal RNA". It matches the Rfam family "Bacterial large subunit ribosomal RNA". The record is from RNAcentral. Lineage: Bacteria; Pseudomonadati; Pseudomonadota; Gammaproteobacteria; Enterobacterales; Enterobacteriaceae.
GGUUAAGCGACUAAGCGUACACGGUGGAUGCCCUGGCAGUCAGAGGCGAUGAAGGACGUGCUAAUCUGCGAAAAGCGUCGGUAAGGUGAUAUGAACCGUUAUAGCCGGCGAUGUCCGAAUGGGGAAACCCAGUGCAAUUCGUUGCACUAUCGUUUGAUGAAUACAUAGUCAAACGAGGCGAACCGGGGGAACUGAAACAUCUAAGUACCCCGAGGAAAAGAAAUCAACCGAGAUUCCCCCAGUAGCGGCGAGCGAACGGGGAGCAGCCCGGAGUCUGAAUCAGCUUGUGUGUUAGUGGAAGCGUCUGGAAAGUCGCAGGGUACAGGGUGAUACUCCCGUACACUAAAACGCACAGGUUGUGAACUCGAAGAGUAGGGCGGGACACGUGGUAUCCUGUCUGAAUAUGGGGGGACCAUCCUCCAAGGCUAAAUACUCCUGACUGACCGAUAGUGAACCAGUACCGUGAGGGAAAGGCGAAAAGAACCCCGGCGAGGGGAGUGAAAAAGAACCUGAAACCGUGUACGUACAAGCAGUAGGAGCCUCUUUAUGGGGUGACUGCGUACCUUUUGUAUAAUGGGUCAGCGACUUAUAUUCUGUAGCAAGGUUAACCGUAUAGGGGAGCCGCAGGGAAACCGAGUCUUAACUGGGCGUUAAGUUGCAGGGUAUAGACCCGAAACCCGGUGAUCUAGCCAUGGGCAGGUUGAAGGUUGGGUAACACUAACUGGAGGACCGAACCGACUAAUGUUGAAAAAUUAGCGGAUGACUUGUGGCUGGGGGUGAAAGGCCAAUCAAACCGGGAGAUAGCUGGUUCUCCCCGAAAGCUAUUUAGGUAGCGCCUCGUGAAUUCAUCUUCGGGGGUAGAGCACUGUUUCGGCUAGGGGGUCAUCCCGACUUACCAACCCGAUGCAAACUACGAAUACCGAAGAAUGUUAUCACGGGAGACACACGGCGGGUGCUAACGUCCGUCGUGAAGAGGGAAACAACCCAGACCGCCAGCUAAGGUCCCAAAGUCAUGGUUAAGUGGGAAACGAUGUGGGAAGGCCCAGACAGCCAGGAUGUUGGCUUAGAAGCAGCCAUCAUUUAAAGAAAGCGUAAUAGCUCACUGGUCGAGUCGGCCUGCGCGGAAGAUGUAACGGGGCUAAACCAUGCACCGAAGCUGCGGCAGCGACACUAUGUGUUGUUGGGUAGGGGAGCGUUCUGUAAGCCGUUGAAGGUGGCCUGUGAGGGUUGCUGGAGGUAUCAGAAGUGCGAAUGCUGACAUAAGUAACGAUAAUGCGGGUGAAAAACCCGCACGCCGGAAGACCAAGGGUUCCUGUCCAACGUUAAUCGGGGCAGGGUGAGUCGACCCCUAAGGCGAGGCCGAAAGGCGUAGUCGAUGGGAAACAGGUUAAUAUUCCUGUACUCGGUGUUACUGCGAAGGGGGGACGGAGAAGGCUAUGUUGGCCGGGCGACGGUUGUCCCGGUUUAAGCAUGUAGGCGGAUGUUCCAGGUAAAUCCGGAACGUUAUCAACGCUGAGGUGUGAUGACGAGGCACUACGGUGCUGAAGUGACAAAUGCCCUGCUUCCAGGAAAAGCCUCUAAGCAUCAGGUAACAUCAAAUCGUACCCCAAACCGACACAGGUGGUCAGGUAGAGAAUACCAAGGCGCUUGAGAGAACUCGGGUGAAGGAACUAGGCAAAAUGGUGCCGUAACUUCGGGAGAAGGCACGCUGAUAGGUAGGUGAAGUGGUUUACCCAUGGAGCUGAAAUCAGUCGAAGAUACCAGCUGGCUGCAACUGUUUAUUAAAAACACAGCACUGUGCAAACACGAAAGUGGACGUAUACGGUGUGACGCCUGCCCGGUGCCGGAAGGUUAAUUGAUGGGGUUAUCCGUAAGGAGAAGCUCUUGAUCGAAGCCCCGGUAAACGGCGGCCGUAACUAUAACGGUCCUAAGGUAGCGAAAUUCCUUGUCGGGUAAGUUCCGACCUGCACGAAUGGCGUAAUGAUGGCCAGGCUGUCUCCACCCGAGACUCAGUGAAAUUGAACUCGCUGUGAAGAUGCAGUGUACCCGCGGCAAGACGGAAAGACCCCGUGAACCUUUACUAUAGCUUGACACUGAACACUGGUCCUUGAUGUGUAGGAUAGGUGGGAGGCUUUGAAGCGUGGACGCCAGUCUGCGUGGAGCCAUCCUUGAAAUACCACCCUUUAAUGGCUGGUGUUCUAACGUGGGCCCGUUAUCCGGGUUGCGGACAGUGUCUGGUGGGUAGUUUGACUGGGGCGGUCUCCUCCUAAAGAGUAACGGAGGAGCACGAAGGUCAGCUAAUCCUGGUCGGACAUCAGGAGGUUAGUGCAAUGGCAUAAGCUGGCUUGACUGCGAGCGUGACGGCGCGAGCAGGUGCGAAAGCAGGUCAUAGUGAUCCGGUGGUUCUGAAUGGAAGGGCCAUCGCUCAACGGAUAAAAGGUACUCCGGGGAUAACAGGCUGAUACCGCCCAAGAGUUCAUAUCGACGGCGGUGUUUGGCACCUCGAUGUCGGCUCAUCACAUCCUGGGGCUGAAGUAGGUCCCAAGGGUAUGGCUGUUCGCCAUUUAAAGUGGUACGCGAGCUGGGUUUAGAACGUCGUGAGACAGUUCGGUCCCUAUCUGCCGUGGGCGCUGGAGAAUUGAGGGGGGCUGCUCCUAGUACGAGAGGACCGGAGUGGACGCAUCACUGGUGUUCGGGUUGUCAUGCCAAUGGCAUUGCCCGGUAGCUAAAUGCGGAAGAGAUAAGUGCUGAAAGCAUCUAAGCACGAAACUUGCCCCGAGAUGAGUUCUCCCUGACUCCUUGAGAGUCCUGAAGGAACGUUGAAGACGACGACGUUGAUAGGCCGGGUGUGUAAGCGCAGCGAUGCGUUGAGCUAACCGGUACUAAUGAACCGUGAGGCUUAACCUU